This 492-nucleotide ribosomal RNA is filed under the name uncultured bacterium. Its description in RNAcentral is "partial 16S ribosomal RNA". It matches the Rfam family "Bacterial small subunit ribosomal RNA", at positions 29 to 507 of the family's 1533-position model. The record is from RNAcentral.
AGUGAACGCUGGCGGUAGGCCUAACACAUGCAAGUCGAACGGCAGCACAGUAAGAGCUUGCUCUUACGGGUGGCGAGUGGCGGACGGGUGAGGAAUACAUCGGAAUCUACUUUUUCGUGGGGGAUAACGUAGGGAAACUUACGCUAAUACCGCAUACGAUCUACGGGUGAAAGCAGGGGAUCUUCGCACCUUGCGCGAUUGAAUGAGCCGAUGUCGGAUUAGCUAGUUGGCGGGGUAAAGGCCCACCAAGGCGACGAUCCGUAGCUGGUCUGAGAGGAUGAUCAGCCACACUGGAACUGAGACACGGUCCAGACUCCUACGGGAGGCAGCAGUGGGGAAUAUUGGGCAAUGGGCGCAAGCCUGAUCCAGCCAUACCGCGUGGGUGAAGAAGGCCUUCGGGUUGUAAAGCCCUUUUGUUGGGAAAGAAAAGCAGCAGGUUAAUACCCCGCUGUUCUGACGGUACCCAAAGAAUAAGCACCGGCUAACUUCGUG